UACAGCCAUAUCAACUUGAAACAUCUGUUCUCAUAUGAUCACUGAAGUUAAGCAACAUUGAGCCCUGGUCAGUACCUUGAUGAGUAACUGCUUGAGAAUACCAUGUGCU
Acanthosepion pharaonis is the source of this 109-nucleotide non-coding RNA. NCBI's taxonomy places the organism in Eukaryota, Metazoa, Mollusca, Cephalopoda, Sepiida, Sepiidae. The record is from the annotation of a GenBank genome assembly.